AUCGCUGCAGAGACAGCCAAGGCUCAACUGCCUCAAUGCUGUACUUUGAAUGAAUUACCAAAUCCUGUCUCUAGGCUUUGAGAAAGGAACACCAUACCGGAUUGGCUUUAACCUUGAUUACACACUAAGUAAUACCCUGCAAUGCCUUAAGAUGAAUUAGUCAUCAUUACCCUGCUCCAUCAUCCACAUUCAAGCAUAGGGAUUUCUCCUGUCCCACACUAAUGAAAUUAGGGGCUUGUGGGGCUUUUUAUUGCACUCGACUGACGGGGUCUUGUAUCCUGUAGAGCUGUAGUACUGUGGAGGGUUGAGGUAGUACUGACUGGGUCUUGUAGUACUGUGGAGGGUUGAGGUAGUACUGACUGGGUCUUGUAGUACUGUGGAGGGUUGAGUUAGUACUGACUGGGUCUUGUAGUACUGUGGAGGGUUGAGGUAGUACUGACUGGGUCUUGUAGUACUGUGGAGGGUUGAGUUAGUACUGACUGGGUCUUGUAGUACUGUGGAGGGUUGAGUUAGUACUGACUGGGUCUUGUAGUACUGUGGAGGGUUGAGGUAGUACUGACUGGGUCUUGUAGUACUGUGGAGGGUUGAGUUAGUACUGACUGGGUCUUGUAGUACUGUGGAGGGUUGAGGUAGUACUGACUGGGUCUUGUAGUACUGUGGAGGGUUGAGGUAGUACUGACUGGGUCUUGUAGUACUGUGGAGGGUUGAGUUAGUACUGACUGGGUCUUGUAGUACUGUGGAGGGUUGAGGUAGUACUGACUGGGUCUUGUAGUACUGUGGAGGGUUGAGGUAGUACUGACUGGGUCUUGUAGUACUGUGGAGGGUUGAGUUAGUACUGACUGGGUCUUGUAGUACUGUGGAGGGUUGAGGUAGUACUGACUGGGUCUUGUAGUACUGUGGAGGGUUGAGGUAGUACUGACUGGGUCUUGUAGUACUGUGGAGGGUUGAGUUAGUACUGAC
Long non-coding RNA from Oncorhynchus keta (chum salmon), 960 nucleotides. RefSeq lists it as uncharacterized. The transcript has 3 exons. NCBI's taxonomy places the organism in Eukaryota, Metazoa, Chordata, Actinopteri, Salmoniformes, Salmonidae. The record is from RefSeq and is a predicted model, not a curated record.